AUAAACAAUGUUCAUCAUAAGGGCAGACCAAUUUUAUUUCUUGUUUUACGGAUCCUCCAGUCAUAUUUUGUCAAGAAUAAGAAA
Long non-coding RNA from Haliotis rubra (blacklip abalone), 84 nucleotides. RefSeq lists it as uncharacterized. The record is from RefSeq and is a predicted model, not a curated record. The transcript is spliced from 3 exons. Lineage: Eukaryota; Metazoa; Mollusca; Gastropoda; Lepetellida; Haliotidae.